RNAcentral lists this ribosomal RNA (496 nucleotides) under uncultured bacterium. Its description in RNAcentral is "partial 16S ribosomal RNA". It matches the Rfam family "Bacterial small subunit ribosomal RNA", at positions 28 to 507 of the family's 1533-position model. The record is from RNAcentral.
GAUGAACGCUGGCGGCGUGCCUAAUACAUGCAAGUCGAGCGAACGGACGAGAAGCUUGCUUCUCUGAUGUUAGCGGCGGACGGGUGAGUAACACGUGGAUAACCUACCUAUAAGACUGGGAUAACUUCGGGAAACCGGAGCUAAUACCGGAUAAUAUUUUGAACCGCAUGGUUCAAAAGUGAAAGACGGUCUUGCUGUCACUUAUAGAUGGAUCCGCGCUGCAUUAGUUAGUUGGAAGGUAACGGCUUACCAAGGCAACGAUGCAUAGCCGACCUGAGAGGGUGAUCGGCCACACUGGAACUGAGACACGGUCCAGACUCCUACGGGAGGCAGCAGUAGGGAAUCUUCCGCAAUGGGCGAAAGCCUGACGGAUCAACGCCGCGUGAGUGAUGAAGGUCUUCGGAUCGUAAAACUCUGUUAUUAGGGAAGAACAUAUGUGUAAGUAACUGUGCACAUCUUGACGGUACCUAAUCAGAAAGCCACGGCUAACUACGUG